GAUUUCUGGUUUGGUGCGCCUGGCCCGCCACGGUUUCGUGUGUGAGUGCUGGGUCGCGCCUGCCAUCCUUCUAGAGAACGUCUCUACUCUUCAUUGAGCCGGAGGCGCCAUCUAGAUCUUUUACUUUGAAAAAAUUAGAGUGUUUAAAGCAGGCUUGCGCUAUGAAUACAUUAGCAUGGAAUAAUAAUUUAGGACUUUGGUCUUAUUUUGUUGGUUUCUAGGACUAAAGUAAUGAUUGAUAGGGACAGUUGGGGGUGCUAGUAUUCAGCGGCCAGAGGUGAAAUUCUUGGAUUCGCUGAAGACUAACUUAUGCGAAAGCAUU
This 322-nucleotide ribosomal RNA is filed under the name uncultured Bodomorpha. Its description in RNAcentral is "SSU rRNA". The stretch from base 106 to 322 matches the Rfam family "Eukaryotic small subunit ribosomal RNA", at positions 737 to 955 of the family's 1831-position model. The record is from RNAcentral. Lineage: Eukaryota; Cercozoa; Glissomonadida.